AGAGUAAUGAUUAAUAGGGACUGUCGGGGGCAUUCGUAUUUAAUUGUCAGAGGUGAAAUUCUUGGAUUUAUGAAAGACGAACCACUGCGAAUGCAUUUUCCAAGGAUGAUUUCAUUAAUCAAGAAUGAAAGUUGGGGGCUCGAAGAUGAUCAGAUACCGUCCUAGUAUCAACCAUAAAUGAUGCUGACCAAGGAUCGACGGAUGUUUCUCUAAGGACUCCGCCAGCACCUUCUGAGAAAUCAGAGUGUUUGGGUUCCGAGGGGAGUAUGGUCGCAAGGCUGAAACUUAAAGGAAUUGACGAAAGGGCACCACCAGGAGUGGAGCCUGCAGCUUAAUUUGACUCAACACGGGAAAACUUACUAGAUCCAGACAUAGUAAGGAUUGACAUAUUGAGAGCUCUUUCUUGAUUCUAUGGGUGGUGGUGCAUGGCCGUUCUUAGUUGGUGGAGUGAUUUGUCUGGUUAAUUCCGAUAACGAAUGAGACCUCAGCCUACUAACUAGCUACGUGGAGGUUCCCCUUCCCAACCAGCUUCUUAGAGGGACUAUGGUCGUUUAGGCCUUGGAAGUUUGAGGUAAUAAUAGGUCUGUGAUGCCCUUAGAUGUUCUGGGCUGCACGCUCACUACACUGAUGCAGUCAACGAGUUUUUCUCCUUGGUUCGAGAGGAUCGGGAAUUCUUCUCAAAUUGCAUUGUGAUGGGGAUAGACCAUUGCAAUUAUUGGUAUUCAACGAGGAAUUCCUAGUAAGCGCAUGUCAUCAGGUCAUGUUGACUACGUCCCUGCCCUUUUUACACACCUCCCGUCGCUCCUACCGAUUGAAUGAUCCGGUGAAGUGUUCGGAUCACGUCAAUGAGGGUGGUUCACCACCAACGAUGUCAUGAGAAGUUCACUAAACCUUAUCAUUUGGAGGAAGGAGAAGUCGUAACAAGGUUACCGUAGGUGAACCUGCGGUAGGAUCAUUG
Molecule: non-coding RNA, 958 nt
Organism: Picea glauca (white spruce)
Lineage: Eukaryota; Viridiplantae; Streptophyta; Pinopsida; Pinales; Pinaceae
Source: Rfam